Molecule: long non-coding RNA, 430 nt
Filed under: Malus domestica (apple)
Lineage: Eukaryota; Viridiplantae; Streptophyta; Magnoliopsida; Rosales; Rosaceae
Description: long non-coding RNA (MDOM_LNC019509)
Source: RNAcentral
AAAACAGAAAUAAAAUAGAAGUUUGGAAAGAUUUAACCGAGAGAGAGGUGAAGAUCUCUGUCUGCGUUUCCACUGAGCUGCUCUCUCGCUGCCCAAAGGCAGCGCCUAUCUGCCCGUCUCAGCUCCCCCUGUCUUCUUCCUUUAUCUGCGCCUCCUGCGCUCCACGUAUAUCCUCUCGCUGACCUCCUCAUAUUUCUGCUGUCCUCACGCUGUCAGGCUGCAUAGGGCAGCUCCCUGCAAUCCUCCUGUCCUCACGUCAGUCCUCUCUUUGAUGUCUCCCCUGGCUGACUCUGUGCUGCCUUGCUACUCCCGCCUGCUUCCCUUCUUUUCUCACCUGGAUUGCACUUACUGACCUUCUCCCUCCUCUGGCGCUGCCCCGUGUCCUGCGUUUCUUGUCAAGCUGCCCAAAGGGCAGCUUCCCCCCCCCCUC